RNAcentral lists this ribosomal RNA (263 nucleotides) under uncultured bacterium. Its description in RNAcentral is "partial 16S ribosomal RNA". It matches the Rfam family "Bacterial small subunit ribosomal RNA", at positions 793 to 1055 of the family's 1533-position model. The record is from RNAcentral.
GUCCACGCCGUAAACGAUGGGCACUAGGUGUGGGAGGUGUCGACUCCUCCCGUGCCGGAGCUAACGCAUUAAGUGUCCCGCCUGGGGAGUACGGCCGCAAGGCUAAAACUCAAAGGAAUUGACGGGGGCCCGCACAAGCAGCGGAGCAUGUGGUUUAAUUCGACGCAACGCGAAGAACCUUACCUGGGUUUGACAUGUUCCUGACCGCCCUGGAAACAGGGCUUCCCUCACGGGCAGGAUCACAGGUGGUGCAUGGCUGUCGU